Molecule: ribosomal RNA, 390 nt
Filed under: uncultured bacterium
Lineage: Bacteria
Description: bacterial SSU rRNA
Rfam family: Bacterial small subunit ribosomal RNA
Source: RNAcentral
AAUCAACGCUGGCGGCGUGCCUCAGACAUGCAAGUCGAACGCGAAAUUUCCCUUCGGGGGGAAAGUAGAGUGGCGCACGGGUGAGUAACACGUAGGUAAUUUGCCUUUGGGUGGGGAAUAACUCAGGGAAACUUGAGCUAAUACCGCAUAAUGCAGCGGCUCGACAUCGAGACAGUUGUUAAAGCGGGGGAUUGGAGCAAUCCGACCUCGCGCCUAAAGAGAAGCCUGCGGCAGAUUAGCUAGUUGGUAAGGUAAUGGCUUACCAAGGCACGAUCUGUAACCGGCCUGAGAGGGCGGUCGGUCACACUGACACUGACAUACGGGUCAGACUCCUACGGGAGGCAGCAGUCGGGAAUUUUGGGCAAUGGGCGCAAGCCUGACCCAGCAACG